Long non-coding RNA from Parus major (Great Tit), 1690 nucleotides. RefSeq lists it as uncharacterized. NCBI's taxonomy places the organism in Eukaryota, Metazoa, Chordata, Aves, Passeriformes, Paridae. The record is from RefSeq and is a predicted model, not a curated record. The transcript is spliced from 2 exons.
UGUGUAGAGGCAAAGAUAAGGAUGUAUUUUGGGAACCAAGCUGACUGUUGCAAUACCUGCGAGUAUUUUUAAAUUGAGAUCGGGAAUGUAAGGAAAGGUAGAUAGAGGCUAUCAUUAAAUCUGCAUUGGUUUGUUUGAAAAACAAGCACUGUAUGUUACUUUCAGAGCGUCCCUUAUCAGAGAUGCAAAGGAAUUGCAUUGGGAUUUUCAAACGCAUCCGAAGAUGAAGGGCCUCAUUUCCUUUCACACGAACUUGGCAGGAGUUACUCCCAGAUCAAACCUAGGGCUUUUCCUUUUAGAAGUGGAAAUUCUUGUUUUGCAGCCAAGCGAGCAACAAUACAAAUUUCAGAGAACAGACAUGAUUCAGCCUUGCAGGAAAAGCCCACCACCUCCGAGGCAUGGCUUAGCAAGAAGUGGCUGCGCUGCUCCCAGUUCUGAGGUUUUUAGGACUGUCUGUCCUUUGGGGAGUGCUGUGUGGAUUUGGUGAUGUUUGUCUGGAUCUCCUGCCUGCCAACCCCUCUGGAAAUGAGAUAGCUGUUUGGAGACCGGCAGAGGGUUAUUUUUAGAUCCAUUUAGAGCCAUUUUUGUGUGUUUGGCAGCUCCAUGAAGGAGCUGUCCGGGGAAGCCGCCGAGCCCCAGCGCCCCCGGAGGAUGCUCGGGAGCCCCGGGAAGGAGCAAGGGCAGCCCGGGAUGAUGGAAAUGCAGAACCCCCGAGCAUCCCGGGACCUGCUGCCGAUCCACCGCCCCUGGCCCUUCCUGCUUACAGGGAACUGGCCCAGGAAAAAUCGGUUUGAGGAGUAUGGAGAUCACGUUUGGAGUGUGAUAUAUGUCCCAGCACAAUUCUCCUCUUAAAAAAAAUAAUAAAUGUGACUUCUGAAUGAAGCUACAAUAAGCAGAGUAUUUCCAAAUGUUCAAGCAGAAUCGAGCUGGAAUUGGGUUAUUUUUCCUCGUGGAAGUAAAUUCAAUUUCAGAGUAAUUCAAAGCAUUAGUAGCAUACUUUUAAUCACGACGACCCUUGCAGCCGCAGGACGAGCCUGGCUGGGCAGGUAAAGGUGUUUCACACCCUGCAGAGGGAGGAGCACACUCGGGAGACACAAAAACAUCAGCAAACACGGCUGCUCCAGGAGGAACUUUUGGCAGAUACAUUUUUCGAAAUAAAUGUGAAAAUCUACAAACUAACUUGGCAAAGCACAAGAAGCUGUGAGGACAGAGGGACAGGAGGAGAGCUGACUUCCUCCAACAGCACUAAAAAAGUAAAAUGCGAACACCAGAAGAACCAGGGAACGUGAUGAGUGGAAAUUAAUGGAUUUGGGCUAUGUUUUGCCUUUUCCUGCCUGAGAGGCAUCGGUAUGGAAAGCAGUGAGUCUGCAGAUGCCGGUGCUGAAUGCCAAGUCCCGGUUCCUGCGGGGAUUGGCAGGGCUGGAUGUUCCCCAGAACGAGGAGGGGUCACAGGAGUGCGGCAGGAGCAGGAGGGAGUUCAGCUCCUGCUUGCUUGGAGUGUGACAUUCAGCUGGCUCCUGCAUUUGCCGGGCUUUUUGAUGCAAGCUUCUUUUGUUGUUUUUUUCUUUCUCUGGCUUUUCAGUAAUUUUUUUAAGUGCUAAUUAGAGAAUUAGGAACACUCACCUCCCACGCAUCAAUUUGUCAUGUUCUGCUUUGCCACAGUAAUUCCAAUAAAGGAUUUUGUAAUCUC